GAAUUUUGCUCAAUGGGCGAAAGCCUGAAGCAGCAACGCCGCGUGAGGGAUGAAGGCCUUAGGGUUGUAAAGCUCUUUUACCCGGGAUGAUAAUGACAGUACCGGGAGAAUAAGCCCCGGCUAACUCCGUGCCAGCAGCCGCGGUAAUACGGAGGGGGCUAGCGUUGUUCGGAAUUACUGGGCGUAAAGCGCGCGUAGGCGGCUUUGUAAGUUAGAGGUGAAAGCCCGGAGCUCAACUCCGGAACUGCCUUUAAGACUGCAUCGCUAGAAUCGUGGAGAGGUGAGUGGAAUUCCGAGUGUAGAGGUGAAAUUCGUAGAUAUUCGGAAGAACACCAGUGGCGAAGGCGACUCACUGGACACGUAUUGACGCUGAGGUGCGAAAGCGUGGGGAGCAAACAGG
This 400-nucleotide ribosomal RNA is filed under the name uncultured bacterium. RNAcentral describes it as "bacterial SSU rRNA". It matches the Rfam family "Bacterial small subunit ribosomal RNA", at positions 359 to 776 of the family's 1533-position model. The record is from RNAcentral.